AUACUCUGGUUUCUCUUUGAGCGUAUAAAUCUUUUGCUUUUUACUAAAGAUUUCCGUGGAGAGAAAUAACAACAAGAUAUAAAGG
Molecule: small nuclear RNA, 85 nt
Filed under: Echinops telfairi (small Madagascar hedgehog)
Lineage: Eukaryota; Metazoa; Chordata; Mammalia; Afrosoricida; Tenrecidae
Description: U5 spliceosomal RNA (ENSETEG00000026363.1)
Rfam family: U5 spliceosomal RNA
About the family: U5 RNA is a component of both types of known spliceosome. The precise function of this molecule is unknown, though it is known that the 5' loop is required for splice site selection and p220 binding, and that both the 3' stem-loop and the Sm site are important for Sm protein binding and cap methylation.
Source: RNAcentral